Molecule: long non-coding RNA, 310 nt
Filed under: Stylophora pistillata
Lineage: Eukaryota; Metazoa; Cnidaria; Anthozoa; Scleractinia; Pocilloporidae
Description: uncharacterized LOC111324720
Source: RNAcentral
GCGCUUUAUACUAAUGACGUCAUGAAAUUUUAGACCCCCCGCGUGACUCAGACAAACAAACUCCACUUCUUUGAGAGCUACAAGGGAAAUGGCGGGUAGUUCGCUUAUUCCCUUACAGUUCUGACCGAAGAAGACGGCGUUCCUGGCUCUAAAUUUGAAAGAGAACCAGAAGAAUACACUGUAGACCAGCUAAAACGGUGGUUAAAAUGAGCAUGUGCUCAACUUACUUGCGCUGGUCUUAGAUUUGCCUUCAGUGGAUCGGGAAAUUCGGCUGUUGGACCUUUUUCGCCGGGCCAGUGAAGAGCACAAA